GCCACUCGGAUGAACUAAGCCAUGCGAGUCAUUGUAGUAAUACAAGGCAGACGGCUCAGUAACGCGUAGUCAACCUAACCUAUGGACGGGAAUAAUCUCGGGAAACUGAGAAUAAUGCCCGAUAGAACACUAUAUCUGGAAUGGUUUGUGUUCCAAAUGAUUUAUCGCCAUAGGAUGGGACUGCGGCCUAUCAGUUUGUUGGUGAGGUAAUGGCCCACCAAGACUAUUACAGGUACGGGCUCUGAGAGGAGUAGCCCGGAGAUGGGUACUGAGACACGGACCCAGGCCCUAUGGGGCGCAGCAGGCGAGAAAACUUUGCAAUGUGCGAAAGCACGACAAGGUUAAUCCGAGUGGUUCCUGCUAAAGGAACCUUUUGUCGGUCCUAGAAACACCGAUGAAUAAGGGGUGGGCAAGUUCUGGUGUCAGCCGCCGCGGUAAAACCAGCACCUCAAGUGGUCAGGAUGAUUAUUGGGCCUAAAGCAUCCGUAGCUCGUUUUGUAAGUUUUCGGUUAAAUCCAUACGCUCAACGUAUGGGCUGCCGGGAAUACUGCAUGACUAGGAAGUGGGAGAGGUAGACGGUACUCGAUAGGAAGGGGUAAAAUCCUUUGAUCUAUUGAUGACCACCUGUGGCGAAGGCGGUCUACCAGAACACGUUCGACGGUGAGGGAUGAAAGCUGGGGGAGCAAACCGGAUUAGAUACCCGGGUAGUCCCAGCUGUAAACUAUGCAAACUCAGUGAUGCAUUGGCUUGUGGCCAAUGCAGUGCUGCAGGGAAGCCGUUAAGUUUGCCGCCUGGGAAGUACGUACGCAAGUAUGAAACUUAAAGGAAUUGGCGGGGGAGCACCACAAGGGGUGAAGCCUGCGGUUCAAUUGGAGUCAACGCCGGG
Molecule: ribosomal RNA, 886 nt
Filed under: uncultured archaeon
Lineage: Archaea
Description: bacterial SSU rRNA
Rfam family: Archaeal small subunit ribosomal RNA
Source: RNAcentral